This 263-nucleotide long non-coding RNA is filed under the name Gossypium raimondii (Peruvian cotton). RNAcentral describes it as "long non-coding RNA (GRAI_LNC008945)". The record is from RNAcentral. Lineage: Eukaryota; Viridiplantae; Streptophyta; Magnoliopsida; Malvales; Malvaceae.
CGAACUGAAUCAAAAGAAGAAGAAAAGAGGUUUUAUAGAGAAAGGGAAAAACGUCAGAAGAGAGAAAGAAGAAAAGAGAAAAAAAACUUCAAAACAAGGGGAGAAAUAUUUUUGGGAAAAAAAAUAAAAAUUGUUUAAUUCCAAAAAUAAAAUCCUACUAGCAACCCAACUUCCCACUAACCAACCACAAUCCCAUAGAAUCUUACCCACUAACCUCAUUCAACUACCACAGACUUUCAGUCCCACCAAACCUCUUAUCAGCC